AUAUUAAAGUAGUAAUAGAUAUAGUCUUUAAACUUAAAGAAUUUGGCGGUAUUUUAAUCUUUUUAGAGGAACUUGUUCUAUAAUCGAUAAUCCUCGUAAAAUUUCACUAAGUUUAAAUAUUUAUAUAUCGUUGUCGAAAAAAUAUUUUUAUAAAAAUUUAAUUUUUAAAUAUUAGGAUUUUAAUAGAUGUCAAAUCAAGGUGUAGUUAAUAAUUUAGUAGAAAUGAGUUACAAUAAAAUUAUUUAAAUGGAAUUUUUAUUGAAAAUAUAAAAGUGAAAGUGGAUUUAAAUGUAAAUUAAUUUUAAAAAGUUUAAUUGAUUAAAGUUCUAAAAUAUGU
This 337-nucleotide ribosomal RNA is filed under the name Tsaractenus rodhaini. Its description in RNAcentral is "partial 12S ribosomal RNA". Lineage: Eukaryota; Metazoa; Arthropoda; Insecta; Siphonaptera; Leptopsyllidae. The record is from RNAcentral.